Molecule: ribosomal RNA, 497 nt
Filed under: uncultured bacterium
Lineage: Bacteria
Description: partial 16S ribosomal RNA
Rfam family: Bacterial small subunit ribosomal RNA
Source: RNAcentral
GACGAACGCUGGCGGCGUGCCUAAUACAUGCAAGUAGAACGCUGAAGAGAGGAGCUUGCUCUUCUUGGAUGAGUUGCGAACGGGUGAGUAACGCGUAGGUAACCCGCCUUGUAGCGGGGGAUAACUAUUGGAAACGAUAGCUAAUACCGCAUAACAAUGGAUGACACAUGUCAUUUAUUUGAAAGGGGCAAUUGCUCCACUACAAGAUGGACCUGCGUUGUAUUAGCUAGUAGGUGAGGUAAUGGCUCACCUAGGCGACGAUACAUAGCCGACCUGAGAGGGUGAUCGGCCACACUGGGACUGAGACACGGCCCAGACUCCUACGGGAGGCAGCAGUAGGGAAUCUUCGGCAAUGGGGGCAACCCUGACCGAGCAACGCCGCGUGAGUGAAGAAGGUUGUCGGAUCGUAAAGCUCUGUUGUAAGUCAAGAACGGGUGUGAGAGUGGAAAGUUCACACUGUGACGGUAGCUGACCAGAAAGGGACGGCUAACUACGUG